This 274-nucleotide ribosomal RNA is filed under the name uncultured bacterium. RNAcentral describes it as "partial 16S ribosomal RNA". It matches the Rfam family "Bacterial small subunit ribosomal RNA", at positions 523 to 796 of the family's 1533-position model. The record is from RNAcentral.
CUACGAAGGGGGCUAGCGUUGUUCGGAAUUACUGGGCGUAAAGCGCGCGUAGGCGGAUUGGUCAGUUAGGGGUGAAAUCCCAGGGCUUAACCCUGGAACUGCCUCUAAUACUGCCAGUCUUGAGUUCGGGAGAGGUGAGUGGAAUUCCUAGUGUAGAGGUGAAAUUCGUAGAUAUUAGGAAGAACACCAGUGGCGAAGUCGACUCACUGGUCCGAUACUGACGCUGAGGUGCGAAAGCGUGGGGAGCAAACAGGAUUAGAAACCCCAGUAGUCC